RNAcentral lists this transfer RNA (76 nucleotides) under Vibrio cholerae O1 biovar El Tor. Its description in RNAcentral is "tRNA-Gly". It matches the Rfam family "tRNA". From Rfam's summary of the family: Transfer RNA (tRNA) molecules are approximately 80 nucleotides in length. The record is from RNAcentral. Lineage: Bacteria; Pseudomonadati; Pseudomonadota; Gammaproteobacteria; Vibrionales; Vibrionaceae.
GCGUCAGCUGAUCAGUUGGUAGAGCGCAACCUUGCCAAGGUUGAGGUCACGAGUUCGAACCUCGUGUGUCGCUCCA